This 406-nucleotide ribosomal RNA is filed under the name uncultured microorganism. RNAcentral's name for it is "bacterial SSU rRNA". It matches the Rfam family "Bacterial small subunit ribosomal RNA", at positions 9 to 414 of the family's 1533-position model. The record is from RNAcentral.
GAGUUUGAUCGUGGCUCAGAUUGAACGCUGGCGGCAUGCCUUACACAUGCAAGUCGAACGGCAGCAUGAUCUAGCUUGCUAGAUUGAUGGCGAGUGGCGAACGGGUGAGUAAUACAUCGGAACGUGCCCUGUAGUGGGGAUAACUAGUCGAAAGAUUAGCUAAUACCGCAUACGACCUGAGGGUGAAAGUGGGGGACCGCAAGGCCUCAUGCUAUAGGAGCGGCCGAUGUCUGAUUAGCUAGUUGGUGAGGUAAAGGCUCACCAAGGCGACGAUCAGUAGCUGGUCUGAGAGGACGAUCAGCCACGCUGGGACUGAGACACGGCCCAGACUCCUACGGGAGGCAGCAGUGGGGAAUUUGGACAAUGGCGAAAGCCUGAUCCAGCAAUGCCGCGUGUGUGAAGAAGG